UUACUGAUUGUGUUUUAAUUUAUAUAUUAAAAAAUUUCUUAUAUAAUCGUAAAAGAGAUAGUAUUAAUUUUAAAAUAUUAAAUUAAUUAUCACUAUAGUUUAGGGUUUUUGGUUUAGGGUAUAUGAAUAAUUUAAAAUUUAAGGCCGGUUUAGGAGUUACUAUUUUAAGGUUAAUUUAGGGAUCAGUAUGGUCUAAGGGCUAGGAUUUAAGGUUUAGUGGUUUAGAUGUUAGAUGUUAGGGGUUAAUAGUUAGG
Molecule: long non-coding RNA, 254 nt
Filed under: Gossypium barbadense (sea-island cotton)
Lineage: Eukaryota; Viridiplantae; Streptophyta; Magnoliopsida; Malvales; Malvaceae
Description: long non-coding RNA (GBAR_LNC015476)
Source: RNAcentral